Molecule: long non-coding RNA, 206 nt
Filed under: Elaeis guineensis (African oil palm)
Lineage: Eukaryota; Viridiplantae; Streptophyta; Magnoliopsida; Arecales; Arecaceae
Description: long non-coding RNA (EGUI_LNC048750)
Source: RNAcentral
AUGGAUGAUAAAGGAUAGAGCAUUUUUAAAACUAUAUAGGCACAUGGAUGUUGGAGUGCUUUGAAAUCUAUACAUGCAUAUGAAAGAGAAUUGAAUACUUUGAGAUCUAUACAGAUAUGUGAAUGAUAAUAGACGGAGUGUUUUAAGAUCAAUAUAGGUGGAUAGAUGAUAAAUGAUUGAGCAUUAUGAUACAUGUGGUUGAAGAA